GAGCCAGAGGGAACUUGGAGGAGGAGGAGGAGGAGGAUGGGUGAUGCAUGGCUGCAGCACAUCGGGUGCUGCUCUCGCACAAUUUACAGCAUUUGCAGCAGCACCGGAGCUCCUGACCCGAGCUCUGCUCCGGAGAGGGGCAGGGUGGCUGUGGGGCAGGCCCAAACGCGCCGUGUCUAAUCGCGAGCUCAAAGCCUUCACCAUCAAACCUUCAGCUCUUCACAGUCUAAUUACAACUUGCCUGGUGCAUUGGUUACGAUGAGCAAUGAAGAUAUAAUCACUGCUGUUAUUUGUCCUUCCUGGCUCCAGCUGUUAAAACAAUUCCUCCUUCAUAGCCCAGCCAAUUUCAUGGCUCUGAUGCGUCCCCGCCGCUCCCAGCCCGCUCCCGCAUCCCAUGCGUCGGGCGCGAGGCACCACAAUCUCCAUGAAAGCAGCCUAUUUCCUGCAUGAAGCCCGUGAAAUUGGGAAGAUAAUAUUUUCAGAGCUGCUGGUACCCUGAUUGCAUGUUUGUUUGAAAUGACAGUUUAUGUUGUCUCUCUCUUUCAUUAGGGAGGUUCAGCGAUCGCGAUGUUAUUAACUAACAACAGCACUCACUGCAUAUAAACAUGAUUCCGCAGAGACACUCCAAGGAGCACUUGAAGGCAGAGGGGAGGGAGAUUGAGAAGGAAGAGAGAUGCUGUGCUUCUUGCCUUUUUUCCCCCUCUCUCCUUCCACUGGAAGGAAGGCUUGGAAGGGAUUUUUAGCUAGAUGAGAAGCUCAGAAGCGUUUCGUUUUGUACUGAGAUUCCCUGACAGCGAUGGGGAGCGGAACACCGACUCUCCAGUGUAAGAUGUCUGGCAAUUCCUGCAGCGCUGCGCUCUGCCAGGGCUCGAGGACUUCCGAGAAGCUGCUCCCUGCCUACAGACUGCUGAGCAAGAUGGCUCUGAAACAAACCCUCACAUCUCCAAAUGCUCGCUGCUGGCAGGGCGCAGGCUUGAUCCGCUCUCCAUGCCCUGAAGGUGGAGAGAUGAGGGUCUGCCUGUUCUCUUUCCAACUCAAAUCAUCCUUCAGAGCGGGCUGAGCUGCACGCAGUGGGAUGCACCGUGCCUUGCUGUGGCUGCCUCCCGGGGUCUGCAGCAUCUCCCGUAGCAGGUCCUGCCUCCACCUGGUACCCCUCGCAGCAAUACCUCUGCACCAGACAAAUGUUGUCACUUAAUUAACACAGCAUGACUGCAGCCCAGGCAGGCGCUAGCUGGAGCCUCAUCGCCAGCGCUGUGAAAUCCUCUCUGACAGGGCUGCCUUGCCUGGGGUCUGCGAGGAAAGCCGUGCCUACAGGCUUGUCUUCCUGCACCUUAUUGAUGGGAAUCGAUGUGGGCUAGCAAAACUCUUCCUUGGGGUCAGGGGAGAGCAGGGAUUUUCUUUUUCUCAGAUCUCCUAAGUUAAGAAUGUGCCUGGAUGCUGAGUUGCUGGGGUUUUCAUGGAGCUGUGGCUUCCUGGGGUGCACUAAAAGCCUUGUUGUGCUGCCUAGGGGCAAUAGGGCUGCAUGAGCAUCAUCUUCCCCCAGGCAGCUGGCAGCGUGGGCUCAAGGCUAAAAAAAAUCCCCAUGGCUGGGGGCUGGAGGCUGGUAGUGAGGAUGCGAUGAAGCAAUUCAGCUUUGGCAGCUGCCCUGGGGAAUAGCUGAGAGAGGCAGCCCUAACCGUGGUGGCAGCGUGUCUGGGUGGGCAGACAAAUCGUCGGUAUCCUGAGGAAGCGUAAAACAGUCUGGAGGAAACGUGAGAUUUGGUGGUAAACCCUCAGCUCAGAAAACAGAGGAGACGCUUAAACUGUCAGGGCUGGGGCUUGUUGCAGGGGUUUUGCCCUUAUCUCUCUCCUGUCUGCAUGGUGGAAGAACAAGAUGAAUCGUUUUGGCGCGUGCAUCAGCACCCGAGAGGCAUCGCGGAUGCGCUGCUGAUUUCCCAUGCUGCUGGUGCUGCCUCUUAUUAAACAUAAAUGGCUGUGGAACGGGCUGGGGGGGUUAUCUAUUCUGAGGUAUGGAGCUUGUUUUAAAUGGAGCCAGCAAAGUUGCUGGUAGCCAGGGCUGCCCAUUAUAAGAUCCUGUUUCCAGUGAGUUAACUCUCUGCCAAGUGAUAAUUGUUCAGGCUAAAAAUUUCCAUGCUGCAAGUCUGCCUCAGGCUAUAUGAAAUUGGGGAACGGGGACCUUUUUUUUUUUUGUGUCUCUUUAAAACAGGAGGAGGAAAAAAUAAGUUUGCAACAGAGCUGAAGGGAUCCAGUCUCUCCAUGAGAUGGAGGCAGAGACUUGGAGUUUGGCAGGGGAAUGUGAAGGUUGUGCAGAGCUGGGAUUCAGCGGCGGGCAGGAGCAGGAAGAGGAGAGCUGGGUCUGGAAUAACCAUCAACCACAAGGCCAGGAGAGGCUGGUGAGCUCCUCGGAUCCUGGUUUCCGGCAGCCUGUGGCCUGGGGACUUGCUGAGCUAGACGUGAGCUUCAGCUCCUGCUCAGAAGCCCCGUUCUCCACGAGUCUGAUCUCUUUCUGACCUUGCACGCAAUUCUGCCUUCCGCAUCACCCCGUCGCAACAAGUUUGACAAGCUAAUGAGGUGUGUGUGUGUGCAGAGAAAGCGUUUCCUUUGGUUUUGCACUCGAACCCACAAAAACAGCUCCUGAACUUCAGACCUACCCAUCUCCCACGGCGCUGGUGGGGGAAACCAGGGGGCCGCGUCCUUCCCCUGCCCCCUGGAGGGACGCUGGCCGUGGUGGUACCCAAAGCCCCCUCCCCGGGCGAGGCGGGGGGCUGGCGUCGGGUGGUGUCAGUGCCUCCUCGCGUGCGCCAGCUGAUUAGAAAGCAGAAGAAUGGCAAGAGAAAAUGAAAAUGGGAAGGAGCUUGACAGCCCAUGGAGAGGUAUUUCAGCUGCAAUACAAAACAUUUGGUGGUAAUUAUAGAAUAACCUUCAUUUAAAUGCAAAUAAGCCUGUAAUUAAGAUAAGGGCUCUGUCAUUUGCCAGUAUUCCUCCUUCACUCCCUUGCCUGCCAUGGGUUUUGAGACGUUCCCCAUCUCGCUGCAGAGCUGCCUGCUUGCCCGAGGGCUCCCGUGGCAAGGGAUGGGGGCGUUUGGGUGUCACCGAGACGCAAAUCUUCCCCCUGGGCCGUGCUGUUGUCUGCACCGGGCACGUGAUGCUCAGCAGGGGCUGCAGGUGCAGAGCUCCUGUGCCUUGUCUGGGGAGAGCCUGGAGCUGAGCUGGGAGUCCACGUUCCAAAACAGGCCACGGUGCUGGCCACUUCCCGCUGCAACGCUGCUUGCACCUCACGUUUGAGUAGAGAACUUCCAGCUUUACUUGCGUCUGGGGCUUCGCUAGGAGAAAAAGAUGCUACCAAGAUGCUAGGAAGUCAAUAAAGAUGUAUUGUUAGGUUGAGCUGGAGUGAAUUGCACGUGUACGUCCAGACGCAGCGUAGUAAUCAUAUUUUGGCACUCCAUCCUGGAAGUAUCAAUGUCACCAGCACCGAGAAGCCUGCAGGUGAUGACUUACACUGAUUUUUCCCGGCAGUACACGGGGAGGCAGCUCCCUGCAGGUGCUUGCCAGGAGCCCUUGGGUGCCGCAGCUUGCAGCGGGGCUCCCUGCUGCCCCGCUCCCAUGCGGACGGGCACCAGAGCACGGCGAAGCUCUGGGAACAGCCGUCGCUGGAAAGGUUAGCCAGCAACCUUUGCUUAAACUGUCUCAAUCUGUAUGAAAUGUUAUCUCUCCGCCUGACUAAAGAUAUGUGAGCCGAGGGAGCGGAGAUGCUCCCAGAUUGUAUUUAUCUAGCCCUUUGAAAGGGCAUUUGAGAAAUUAACUCGGCAGCUUAGGAGAACUUUAAUGUUUCGAUAAGUGGCUGGAGCUGCGUCUCCGCUUGACACCCGCCAUGGAGCACCUCCAUCCCGCUUCGGAGGGGGCAAACUCCCCCUGCUGCCACGUGAAAGCUGCCAGCCCCUGGUGCUGUGGGUGCCCCUUUUUCCUGGGUUCUCCCCCCCCCAUCCUGAUGGGAGCCAGCCCUUCUGUCUGGAUCCGUCCCUCGCAGCUGGGAGCGGUGAUGCUCGGGCUGAGCCGCCUUCCCCAAGGCCAUCUGCAUUGCAGAUACCCGUGGAAAUGCUGCCUGGCUUAUUCAUUUAUUCCUUUUCUCUUCUCGUGCCUGUUCUGGAGACUUCUGCAGGUGGCAGAGGAGGAGGGAAGGGCUGGGUGGGCACAGACCCCGUUCUGGUGGCAGUGG
Oxyura jamaicensis (ruddy duck) is the source of this 4216-nucleotide long non-coding RNA. RefSeq lists it as uncharacterized. The record is from RefSeq and is a predicted model, not a curated record. Lineage: Eukaryota; Metazoa; Chordata; Aves; Anseriformes; Anatidae. The transcript is spliced from 2 exons.